Molecule: non-coding RNA, 462 nt
Organism: Cinara cedri
Lineage: Eukaryota; Metazoa; Arthropoda; Insecta; Hemiptera; Aphididae
Source: the annotation of a GenBank genome assembly
ACCCGUCCCGAUCCAGCACGGCAGUGUCUGCACCGCGGCAUACGAGUGCCGGCCAGAAUAAACGUCCGCGAAAGAUAUGCGGCGCCCGUGACCGCCCGCCGACGCCGUCGGCCCCGCCGCGGAUCAACGCAACGACGACCGCAUGGCGCCUAAUAAGAGCAAAAGGCCUAUAUUCGAACUCGUUGUGAGUAUAUUAUACCAUACUUACUUGUCUACUUAUUAUAUUACAUGCGCGCGGGUUUAUCGAUUUUUUUAAUUAUUUUAAAAAUUGCAACGCCACAACAGAAACGACUAUACCUAUAGGGAUGGUAGGUGCGCGAUUAUAUCAUAUUAUGUUCGCUGAAAACCGUACGGAAUGUAUAAACAUUUUAUAACUGUUAAAAUGAAGCCCGGUGUCGAGUCAACCGACGUCGAAAUUCGAUGCACGUUAUUCGUGACAUUUUACAUUUUUGAUGAACAAAU